This 442-nucleotide ribosomal RNA is filed under the name uncultured bacterium. Its description in RNAcentral is "partial 16S ribosomal RNA". It matches the Rfam family "Bacterial small subunit ribosomal RNA", at positions 338 to 795 of the family's 1533-position model. The record is from RNAcentral.
CCUACGGGUGGCAGCAGUGGGGAAUAUUGCACAAUGGGGGAAACCCUGAUGCAGCGACGCCGCGUGAGUGAAGAAGUAAUUCGGUAUGUAAAGCCCUAUCAGCAGGGAAGAAGAAAUGACGGUACCUGAGUAAGAAGCACCGGCUAAAUACGUGCCAGCAGCCGCGGUAAUACGUAGGGUGCAAGCGUUAUCCGGAUUUACUGGGUGAAAAGGGAGCGCAGGGGGCACGGCAAGCCUGAUGUGAAAGCUCGCGGCCCAACCGCGGGACUGCAUUGGGAACUACCGGGCUGGAGUACCGUAGAGGUAGGCGGAAUUCGUAGUGUAGCGGUGAAAUGCGUAGAUAUUAGGAGGAACACCAGUGGCGAAGGCGGCCUACUGGACGGUGACUGACGCUGAGGCUCGAAAGCGUGGGGAGCAAACAGGAUUAGAUACCCCAGUAGUC